UACGUAGGGUGCAAGCGUUGUCCGGAAUUAUUGGGCGUAAAGAGCUCGUAGGCGGCUUGUUGCGUCGGCUGUGAAAACCCGCAGCUCAACUGUGGGCUUGCAGCCGAUACGGGCAGGCUUGAGUUCGGUAGGGGAGACUGGAAUUCCUGGUGUAGCGGUGAAAUGCGCAGAUAUCAGGAGGAACACCGGUGGCGAAGGCGGGUCGCUGGGCCGAUACUGACGCUGAGGAGCGAAAGCGUGGGGAGCGAACAGG
RNAcentral lists this ribosomal RNA (253 nucleotides) under uncultured bacterium. RNAcentral describes it as "partial 16S ribosomal RNA". It matches the Rfam family "Bacterial small subunit ribosomal RNA", at positions 524 to 776 of the family's 1533-position model. The record is from RNAcentral.